This 206-nucleotide unclassified non-coding RNA is filed under the name Hevea brasiliensis (rubber tree). Lineage: Eukaryota; Viridiplantae; Streptophyta; Magnoliopsida; Malpighiales; Euphorbiaceae. The record is from RNAcentral.
GCUUUUUUGUGCAACUGUAUUUGGUCCAGUUCUAGAUAAAUUCUACUUCUUCAUUAAGUUUCUGAGAUAGAAUGUGGAAUGGGUUAAUAAUUAUGUUCAUGAAAACUGGGACAAACAUUAACACAUGUUUUCACAUAAUUAUAGAUCCAAAGGGUUAAGGGGUUGGUUCAUUAAGGACUAUGUGCUAUGCACAAUUUCAAUUUCCA